AAACCUGCACAAAGAUGAAGCUUUCUAUUAAAAUUUCUCAGAUAUUUGCUUGGUAUUAAUACAUGCCUAUCUUGAGUUGGCCAAGAAGUAUGCGAUAGUUCUCUCCUUAAGACACAGAACAAACUAUAAGAUAGUCGAUUCAUGACAAAAGUUCAAUACAUUUUCGUAUUUUUCAUAUUAUUUUCAAAUAGACUUUUCAUUAUAAAUUUUUCAAAAUUUUAUUUUAGC
Molecule: non-coding RNA, 228 nt
Organism: Paramuricea clavata
Lineage: Eukaryota; Metazoa; Cnidaria; Anthozoa; Malacalcyonacea; Plexauridae
Source: the annotation of a GenBank genome assembly